AGGGCUUCACACGUCAUACAAUGGUGCAUACAGAGGGUUGCCAAGCCGCGAGGUGGAGCUAAUCCCAGAAAAUGCAUCGUAGUCCGGAUCGUAGUCUGCAACUCGACUACGUGAAGCUGGAAUCGCUAGUAAUCGCGGAUCAGCAUGCCGCGGUGAAUACGUUCCCGGGUCUUGUACACACCGCCCGUCACACCAUGGGAGUGGGCUUUACCAGAAGUAGUUAGCCUAACCGCAAGGAGGGCGAUUAGCACGG
Molecule: ribosomal RNA, 253 nt
Filed under: uncultured Ralstonia sp.
Lineage: Bacteria; Pseudomonadati; Pseudomonadota; Betaproteobacteria; Burkholderiales; Burkholderiaceae
Description: partial 16S ribosomal RNA
Rfam family: Bacterial small subunit ribosomal RNA
Source: RNAcentral